UCCUGAAUCUGCCCACUGUUGAGUUUCCUCUUUCUGCACAACCACGGAAGGAGCAGAAACAGAGAAGGGUGGACCUAUUUUGGGAGGCAGCACCGUGCAUGGGAGUACCGAGGCACUCAGUUUACAGGUCCCACAAUAUAAGAAGAUAUAAAGCUACAAAGGAGGGCCACAAAGAUGCUAAAGGGUCUAGAGGAGAUGCCAUAUGAGGAACAGCUGAGGUCACUUGAUCUGUUCAGCCUGGAGGAGCCUGAGGGGAGACCUCACAGCAGUCAACAGCUUCCUCAAAAGGAUUAGCUUUUCAUCAUGCCAGAGUCCUCGAAGAAAGAGCCACAGGGGUGUUGGGUAUGGCAUACCAUGCUCACAUCACUUGUGAUUAUCAAACUGCUUCCAUAACAUAAGCACCCCUAACACAAACUGGAAAAGGAAAGUACAAGCUUGGUGACUUUUGAGUUUGUCACUGUAUUUUAAGAACUGUUCUGCCAAUGCACUUCUCUGAUAUGAGACUAAACUACAAGCCAUGAAACACUGUGA
This is a long non-coding RNA of Pipra filicauda (Wire-tailed manakin), 531 nucleotides long. RefSeq lists it as uncharacterized. The record is from RefSeq and is a predicted model, not a curated record. Lineage: Eukaryota; Metazoa; Chordata; Aves; Passeriformes; Pipridae. The transcript is spliced from 3 exons.